This 1388-nucleotide long non-coding RNA is filed under the name Anser brachyrhynchus (Pink-footed goose). RNAcentral's name for it is "lncRNA (ENSABRG00000011048.1)". The record is from RNAcentral. Lineage: Eukaryota; Metazoa; Chordata; Aves; Anseriformes; Anatidae.
AAAAUGUUAUCCUUGAUGAAAUGUUGAGAAGUUACAGUGAUACUCUGGCGUUUACCUGGAAUUAUUUGUUUAUAUUUAGCUUACUUAGGAUGCCCAGGUAGAGGCAACCACUGCCUCCAGCAACUUUUUAAAAUGUUUGCUGUUGAUAACUCUUUGCCAUAAGACAUUCUUUUACUUCAAUCUGAAGCUGGCAAAUUUCUUUAUUCCCUUACUUUACUAAGACAGAUUUUUUUUUAAGAAAGCCCAUUCCAUCCAGCAAUACCAGUUUCCUUAGACACCCUUCCCUUUAUCCCUGAAAGCCCGCGAUGUCGGUACCCGGCACAGCCCUUGCCCUCUUGGACAGGGCAGCCGCAAGCGGCCAUGGUCCCUGCUCAGGGCACUCGCCAGCCCACGCAGGCCCAGCCCGUGGCACACAUUUUAUCUUCUUCAGCCACCGCAUGCUUGGUCCUCUGCACAACUGCUCUUAUCUGGCCCUAGCCCGAGGGGCUCACAGCAGGUAAGACUGCAGUUAAUGCCCAUCGCCGGUUACUCCUCCGCUUCUAUUCAUCAAAACCCGAGAGGCAGCGAGGAGGAGGCAGGAGAUGCCAAGGAAGCCCGGACAACCCAGGGGCAGGAUCGGGCGGUCCCCAGGCAGCAGCUCCAUCCACCUCCCGGCCCGGAGCAACGCCACGAGCGGCCCGCAGCCGCCACCCGGCCUCACGCCCAGCCCCGGCCCGCGGGGCCCGGCCGGCGCCUGCCGCCAUCUGGCGGUGACCGCCAGGCCGCUGCCGGGCUCAGUCUUCAAAGACUGCCUGAAAUUAGGAGUAUCCCUUUACACCGCCAUGCAGAAAUAUACACACACGUUGCUCAGAGAAACCCAGACAUCUGUCAAGACUGCUCAAUUGCUUUUUGCUUUGAAGAUAAAUAGCAUGCUUUUAUGUCCAUGUGCACACUCUUCCGCUACACAGCUUCAGCCCAUCAGAGACACUGAGUCUCUGAAAAACAACCAAAGGGAAGGAGGCCAGCUUUAAUCACUUGUAGCUGAUACAUUGUGUAGCGUAGAGUGACUGGGGAGAAGAAUAGUACGUAGGAGACAAAAGUAUUGUAUUCCUUACAAUUAUCCAUCUUCAAAGGAAAGAAGGACUUUGGCGAUACAAAAAAAAAAAAUAGUAGUGGUGCUGUAGUUAUGCCAUAUUUGCUGCAUCCUGUGUGAAUUAGUUUCAUUCAAGUAUGAACUGUGUUGGUGGUUUUCUAAUUUACAUUAUGCCUCUGAAUGCUUUUCUUUAGUGCCUUUUGAGAAGAACUUACAGUUUUAGACAAAUUGAAUAUUGUUCUCUUUCAUGUACAUCAUCCGGAUCCAGUCAAUGACUUAGCUUUUUAUAGCCCUUUUUAAAUUUCAUCUUAUUUUU